GCAGGCGUGGUGAAACUGGUAGACACAGCAGACUUAAAAUCUGCCGUCCGUUCAAGGACUUACGGGUUCGAUCCCCGUCGCCUGCACCA
This 89-nucleotide transfer RNA is filed under the name Brucella haematophila. Its description in RNAcentral is "Ochrobactrum haematophilum tRNA-Leu". It matches the Rfam family "tRNA". From Rfam's summary of the family: Transfer RNA (tRNA) molecules are approximately 80 nucleotides in length. Their secondary structure includes four short double-helical elements and three loops (D, anti-codon, and T loops). The record is from RNAcentral. Lineage: Bacteria; Pseudomonadati; Pseudomonadota; Alphaproteobacteria; Hyphomicrobiales; Brucellaceae.